GAUGAAGAACGUAGCGAAAUGCGAUACGUAAUGUGAAUUGCAGAAUUCAGUGAAUCAUCGAAUCUUUGAACGCACAUUGCGCCCCUUGGUAUUCCAUGGGGCAUGCCUGUUCGAGCGUCAUUUGUACCCUCAAGCUUUGCUUGGUGUUGGGCGUCUUGUCGUAUUACGACUCGCCUUAAAUACAUUGGCAGCCGGCACUUUGGCCUAGGAGCGCAGCACAUUUUGCGAUCGUAGCCCGUUGUACUGGCGUCCAUCAAGAACAUUUACCACGUUUGACCUCGGAUCAGGUAGGGAUACCCGCUGAACUUAAGCAUAUCAAUAAGCGGAGGA
RNAcentral lists this unclassified non-coding RNA (330 nucleotides) under soil metagenome. Its description in RNAcentral is "partial contains 5.8S ribosomal RNA, internal transcribed spacer 2, and large subunit ribosomal RNA". The stretch from base 1 to 120 matches the Rfam family "5.8S ribosomal RNA", at positions 35 to 154 of the family's 154-position model. The record is from RNAcentral.